GUAGCGAAAAGUUACGCUAAUACCGCAUACGAUCUAUGGAUGAAAGCAGGGGACCGCAAGGCCUUUGUGCUCGUGGAGCGGCCGAUAUCUGAUUAGCUAGUUGGUAGGGGUAAAGGCUUACCAAGGCGACGAUCAGUAGCUGGUCUGAGAGGACGACCAGCCACACUGGAACUGAGACACGGUCCAGACUCCUACGGGAGGCAGCAGUGGGGAAUUUUGGACAAUGGGCGCAAGCCUGAUCCAGCAAUGCCGCGUGAGUGAAGAAGGCCUUCGGGUUGUAAAGCUCUUUUGUCAGGGAAGAAACGGUUCAGGCUAAUAUCCUGGGCUAAUGACGGUACCUGAAGAAUAAGCACCGGCUAACUACGUGCCAGCAGCCGCGGUAAUACGUAGGGUGCAAGCGUUAAUCGGAAUUACUGGGCGUAAAGCGUGCGCAGGCGGUUUUGUAAGUCUGUCGUGAAAGCCCCGGGCUCAACCUGGGAAUUGCGAUGGAGACUGCAAGGCUUGAAUCUGGCAGAGGGGGGUAGAAUUCCACGUGUAGCAGUGAAAUGCGUAGAGAUGUGGAGGAACACCGAUGGCGAAGGCAGCCCCCUGGGUCAAGAUUGACGCUCAUGCACGAAAGCGUGGGGAGCAAACAGGAUUAGAUACCCUGGUAGUCCACGCCCUAAACGAUGUCUACUAGUUGUCGGGUUUUAAUUAACUUGGUAACGCAGCUAACGCGUGAAGUAGACCGCCUGGGGAGUACGGUCGCAAGAUUAAAACUCAAAGGAAUUGACGGGGACCCGCACAAGCGGUGGAUGAUGUGGAUUAAUUCGAUGCAACGCGAAAAACCUUACCUACCCUUGACAUGUCAGGAACCUCCGAGAGAUUGGAGGGUGCCCGAAAGGGAACCUGAACACAGGUGCUGCAUGGCU
RNAcentral lists this ribosomal RNA (911 nucleotides) under Massilia sp. RNAcentral describes it as "bacterial SSU rRNA". It matches the Rfam family "Bacterial small subunit ribosomal RNA", at positions 148 to 1050 of the family's 1533-position model. The record is from RNAcentral. Lineage: Bacteria; Pseudomonadati; Pseudomonadota; Betaproteobacteria; Burkholderiales; Oxalobacteraceae.